Molecule: non-coding RNA, 82 nt
Organism: Cristinia sonorae
Lineage: Eukaryota; Fungi; Basidiomycota; Agaricomycetes; Agaricales; Stephanosporaceae
Source: the annotation of a GenBank genome assembly
GGCGCUAUGGUGUAGACGGUUAUCACUUGGGAUUCUGAACGAGAACAUUCCCAAGACCCAGGUUCGAGUCCUGGUAGCGCCU